CAGGCUUAACACAUGCAAGUCGAGGGGCAGCAUGGUCUUAGCUUGCUAAGGCCGAUGGCGACCGGCGCACGGGUGAGUAACACGUAUCCAACCUGCCGUCUACUCUUGGACAGCCUUCUGAAAGGAAGAUUAAUACAAGAUGGCAUCAUGAGUCCACAUGUUCACAUGAUUAAAGGUAUUCCGGUAGACGAUGGGGAUGCGUUCCAUUAGAUAGUAGGCGGGGUAACGGCCCACCUAGUCUUCGAUGGAUAGGGGUUCUGAGAGGAAGGUCCCCCACAUUGGAACUGAGACACGGUCCAAACUCCUACGGGAGGCGGCAGUGAGGAAUAUUGGUCAAUGGGCGAGAGCCUGAACCAGCCAAGUAGCGUGAAGGAUGACUGCCCUAUGGGUUGUAAACUUCUUUUAUAAAGGAAUAAAGUCGGGUAUGCAUACCCGUUUGCAUGUACUUUAUGAAUAAGGAUCGGCUAACUCCGUGCCAGCAGCCGCGGUAAUACGGAGGAUCCGAGCGUUAUCCGGAUUUAUUGGGUUUAAAGGGAGCGUAGAUGGAUGUUUAAGUCAGUUGUGAAAGUUUGCGGCUCAACCGUAAAAUUGCAGUUGAUACUGGAUAUCUUGAGUGCAGUUGAGGCAGGCGGAAUUCGUGGUGUAGCGGUGAAAUGCUUAGAUAUCACGAAGAACUCCGAUUGCGAAGGCAGCCUGCUAAGCUGCAACUGACAUUGAGGCUCGAAAGUGUGGGUAUCAAACAGGAUUAGAUACCCUGGUAGUCCACACGGUAAACGAUGAAUACUCGCUGUUUGCGAUAUACGGCAAGCGGCCAAGCGAAAGCGUUAAGUAUUCCACCUGGGGAGUACGCCGGCAACGGUGAAACUCAAAGGAAUUGACGGGGGCCCGCACAAGCGGAGGAACAUGUGGUUUAAUUCGAUGAUACGCGAGGAACCUUACCCGGGCUUAAAUUGCAGAUGAAUUACGGUGAAAGCCGUAAGCCGCAAGGCAUCUGUGAAGGUGCUGCAUGGUUGUCGUCAGCUCGUGCCGUGAGGUGUCGGCUUAAGUGCCAUAACGAGCGCAACCCUUGUUGUCAGUUACUAACAGGUUCCGCUGAGGACUCUGACAAGACUGCCAUCGUAAGAUGUGAGGAAGGUGGGGAUGACGUCAAAUCAGCACGGCCCUUACGUCCGGGGCUACACACGUGUUACAAUGGGGGGUACAGAGGGCCGCUACCACGCGAGUGGAUGCCAAUCCCCAAAACCUCUCUCAGUUCGGACUGGAGUCUGCAACCCGACUCCGCGAAGCUGGAUUCGCUAGUAAUCGCGCAUCAGCCACGGCGCGGUGAAUACGUUCCCGGGCCUUGUACACACCGCCCGUCAAGCCAUGGGAGCCGGGGGUACCUGAAGUGCGUAACCGCGAGGAGCGCCCUAGGGUAAAACUGGUGACUGGGGCUAAGUCG
Molecule: ribosomal RNA, 1441 nt
Filed under: uncultured organism
Description: 16S ribosomal RNA
Rfam family: Bacterial small subunit ribosomal RNA
Source: RNAcentral